RNAcentral lists this ribosomal RNA (392 nucleotides) under uncultured bacterium. Its description in RNAcentral is "partial 16S ribosomal RNA". It matches the Rfam family "Bacterial small subunit ribosomal RNA", at positions 523 to 918 of the family's 1533-position model. The record is from RNAcentral.
AUACGGAGGAUCCGAGCGUUAUCCGGAUUUAUUGGGUUUAAAGGGUGCGCAGGCGGCCAUUUAAGUCAGCGGUUAAAUCGUGGGGCUCAACCCCAUUCUGCCGUUGAUACUGGGUGGCUUGAUUGCGGUCGAGGUUGGCGGAAUUCGUUGUGUAGCGGUUAAAUGCAUAGAUAUGACGAAGAACACCGAUUGCGUAGGCAGCUGACCAGACCGCAAAUGACGCUCAUGCACGAAAGUGCGGGGAUCGAACAGGAUUAGAUACCCUGGUAGUCCGCACAGUAAACGAUGAAUACUUGUUUUCGGCGAUAUAAUGUCGGAGGCAAAGCGAAAGCGAUAAGUAUUCCACCUGGGGAGUACGCCGGCAACGGUGAAACUCAAAUGAAUUGACGGGG